This 255-nucleotide ribosomal RNA is filed under the name uncultured archaeon. RNAcentral's name for it is "partial 16S ribosomal RNA". The record is from RNAcentral.
ACGGGCGGUGUGUGCAAGGAGCAGGGACGUAUUCACCGCGCUGUGUUGAAACGCGAUUACUACGGAUUCCAGCUUCAUGAGGGCGAGUUGCAGCCCUCAAUCCGGACUUCGAUUGGGUUUAGGAGAUUGCCUUCACCUUCCGGUGUUGAUUCCCAUUGUCCCAACCAUUGUAGCCCGCGUGUAGCCCGGGAGUUUCGGAGCAUACUGACCUACCGUAACCCGCCCCUUCCUCCGCUUUAGCAGCGGCGGUCCCCA